UACGGGAGGCAGCAGUGAGGAAUAUUGGUCAAUGGGCGCAAGCCUGAACCAGCCAUGCCGCGUGCAGGAAGAAUGCCCUACGGGUUGUAAACUGCUUUUAUGUGAGGAUAAACCUAGAUUUGCGAAUCUAGCUGAAGGUAUCACAUGAAUAAGGAUCGGCUAACUCCGUGCCAGCAGCCGCGGUAAUACGGAGGAUUCGAGCGUUAUCCGGAUUUAUUGGGUUUAGAGGGUGCGUAGGCGGACUAUUAAGUCAGUGGUGAAAUACAUCAGCUCAACUGAUGCACUGCCAUUGAUACUGGUAGACUAGAAUAUAAAUGGUGCAGGCGGAAUGAAUCAUGUAGAGGUGACAUUCAUAGAUAUGAUUCAGAACACCGAUCGCGAAGGCAGCUUGCAAAGAUAGUAUUGACGCUGAGGCACGAAAGCGUGGGUAGCGAACAGGAUUAGAUACCCUGGUAGUCCACGCCGUAAACGAUGAUAACUCGUUGUCGGCGAUACACAGUCGGUGACUAAGCGAAAGCGAUAAGUUAUCCACCUGGGGAGUACGAUCGCAAGGUUGAAACUCAAAGGAAUUGACGGGGGCCCGCACAAGCGGAGGAGCAUGUGGUUUAAUUCGAUGAUACGCGAGGAACCUUACCUAGACUUGAACGUAUGAGUGAUCAUUUAGAAAUAGAUGAGCUAGUAAUAGACUCUUACGAGGUGCUGCAUGGUUGUCGUCAGCUCGUGCCGUGAGGUGUCGGGUUAAGUCCCAUAACGAGCGCAACCCUUAUUGUCAGUUGCUAACAGGUAAAGCUGAGGACUCUGGCGAGACUGCCMCCGUAAGGUGUGAGGAAGGUGGGGAUGACGUCAAAUCAGCACGGCCCUUAUGUCCAGGGCUACACACGUGUUACAAUGGCCGAUACAAAGGGCAGCUACCGGGCGACCGGAUGCUAAUCUCUAAAGUCGGUCUCAGUUCGGAUCGGAGUCUGCAACCCGACUCCGUGAAG
Molecule: ribosomal RNA, 983 nt
Filed under: uncultured Rikenellaceae bacterium
Lineage: Bacteria; Pseudomonadati; Bacteroidota; Bacteroidia; Bacteroidales; Rikenellaceae
Description: bacterial SSU rRNA
Rfam family: Bacterial small subunit ribosomal RNA
Source: RNAcentral